Long non-coding RNA from Salvia splendens (bonfire salvia), 2276 nucleotides. RefSeq lists it as uncharacterized. The record is from RefSeq and is a predicted model, not a curated record. The transcript has 3 exons. NCBI's taxonomy places the organism in Eukaryota, Viridiplantae, Streptophyta, Magnoliopsida, Lamiales, Lamiaceae.
AGAUCAUUUUGUUAGAAACAUUGUAUAAAAGACGGAAAAUAUGAUGAUAAUAAUGAAACAAACUAGACUAUAAGUUUGGUCGAUGAAGCUCUCUUUCCACAUAAUUUUAUUCCUCCAUUUGUGUUCUUGGAUUGACGUAAAAGCAUCUCAAAUCCACUAUAUAUUGACAUCAACAAACGUACAAAGUUCUGAUAAAAGGGAGGCAUACUUUCAGCUUGCUUGUUAUGUUAUAUAUGUAGUAUUUCUCUCUAAACUCCAUCUAUUUAUAAGUUGGAAAUAUGUACCUCUAGAUGAAAGAUCAAAGGCCUCAAGAAGAAGAAAGAUCAAAGGCCUCGGCUUCAAUGUGUACGACAAUUUUUCGGUACACGUAAAUUCAAUUACUACUUUAUAUGUUAAGUGCAACUCGACAUGUUAUUAAGUGCUAAAGUGCGUGUCUUUCCCUCUAUACUAUUCAAGAUGUCCAUUUUCUAUAUUUAGAAAUAAAUCUCCUUCUCUCCUCUAUCCUCAUUUAAAUAUUCAACUACUUUUUUUCUCAACUUACUCCACCUAAUAACUCUUUCUAAAAUCUCGUGCCAUUCAAGAAGGUGGGGAAUUGUUUUUACCAAUAAAAUUAGAUUUGUGUAUAAUAACUCAUGUUAAUUGAUAUUUUAAUCUAGCUUCGUUUUUCGAUCAUUUAAUAAUAUUCCCACCUUUAAGUUUUAUUGCAAUCAAACGAUGAGAGUAACCUGAUGUGAUAUUAAAAGAUCGAUCGACUCAUUUUUGAUAAUUGAAUGGAAAGUACAUAGUAGUUCUCACUUCUCAUGUGCAACAAUAAUUAUAAUUUCUUUUUUGUUUGUUCUUUUUCCUUCGUGUUUUUUGAGUUAGGGAAUUAAAUGUGUUCCUAAAAAAUUAAAUGACUUUGGGUUACAAAAGGUAUAUAUGAAAGAUCAAAUCUAAGUCGGGUAGCAAAUAAAGAUUUAGUGAUUUAACCCAUUUUGGCAUAGAUUAAGUGUAUGUGACAAAUCAAUUAAUUAUCCAUUUUUGGUGGGAACCAAGUCAUGUUCUUGUCUAAUCAGAUUGGUUCAUCCACCUAUUAGUUUUAAAAUGUUAUUGUUAUUAUUGUUAGAAUAGGUUUUGGGGAAUAUUGUAUCUCUCAUUCUUAUUGAAACGAAUACACAUUUACAUGCCUCUUUAUAGGCUCAAGAAUACAACUUAAGGUAAGUUUAUUACCCUAACUAAUCUUCUAUACAAGGAGAAAAUUAAUUACUAAUUUUCCACUUAUUGUGAUUGCAGGGAAUCAGCCUCUUGAUUCUCCGUGAUCUUUCCUUCCAACACUCCCCCUCAAGUUAAGUGAUGAGAUCACCAAUACUUAACUUGUCCAAUACACCUCGAAAAGAGUGCGAACUUACUGCCUUUGUCAAGAUGUCCGCCAGUUGAUCUUCUGACUUGACAUGGGGUCAUACACGAGGUAGAGGUCAGCCUCACUCUCGUAUGUGACGGCUAGGAUGUCCCAUAUUGCAUUGGCCGAUUGAUGAUGGGUGAAAUCUGCAAUAAUAUAAUGUUCGAUAUUAUCCACAAUCCACGAGAAGACAAUUAGAUCCGUCUCUUCCCAAUCGCCAUACUCCUUGCUUUCCGACAGUGGUGGAGCCUGUUUUCCGGUUAUGUGGGAGUAGCCUCCCCUACUCCCUAUUGCAACCUUCAUCAGCCGCGACCAUAGUGGGUAAUUUCCUCCGUUGAGUUUGAACUCAAUAGUGACGUUCUUACUCGCUCGUAUUUUACUGCCUGAUGAUUCUGAUUCUGUUGGUUUCUCGUCGUCUGACAUUUUGGGUAUUGAUUUGAAUUUGUUUGCUCACUGGGUUUUUGUUGAUUUGGCCGAGAUUGGUAUGGGUUGGGCGGUGAUGAACGAAAAAAUCUGAGCCCUAGUUUAAAUCCUGCUCUGAUACCAUGUUAGAACAGGUUUUGGGGAAUAUUGUAUCUCUCAUUCUCAUUGAAACGAAUACACAUUUACAUGCCUCUUUAUAGGCUCAAGAAUACAACUUAAGGAAAUCAGCCUCUUGAUUCUCCGUGAUCUUUCCUUCCAAUAAUUAUUUCCAAAUGUAUUUCAAGGCAUACAACCUUUUAUGUCCAUCCUAACUAAUAUUGAAAAUUAAGAAGAAAAAAAAUCAUACUGUACUAUAUUUUAUCAUGGUUUCUCUUAAAUAUUUCACAUAAUUAGAGAGGGAGUAUCUAGUACGAAGAUCAUCCAAAAAUGACAAAAAAAAGAAGAAAGAACAAAAUCAAUAGAAAUCCAAACUCAA